Molecule: ribosomal RNA, 301 nt
Filed under: uncultured bacterium
Lineage: Bacteria
Description: partial 16S ribosomal RNA
Rfam family: Bacterial small subunit ribosomal RNA
Source: RNAcentral
CAGUCGCCACGGUAAAACGGAGGGGGCUAGCGUUGUUCGGAAUUACUGGGCGUAAAGCGCACGUAGGCGGCUUGGUAAGUUAGAGGUGAAAGCCUGGAGCUCAACUCCAGAAUUGCCUUUAAGACUGCCGAGCUAGCAGGUGAGAGAGGUAAGUGGAAUUCCGAGUGUAGAGGUGAAAUUCGUAGAUAUUCGGAAGAACACCAGUGGCGAAGGCGGCUUACUGGCUCAUACUGGACGCUGAGGUGCGAAAGCGUGGGGAGCAAACAGGAUUAGAUACCCCUGUAGUCCCUGUCUCUUAUAC